CAUUGUGGAACCAGACCUGUCUGACGUCAAAGUCAAAGCCCCUCUACAGUGCCAUUUUGCCUUGGGAAGGGGCGCUAUUGAGUCCAUGGAAGGACCUGUAAGCCACAAUCCUACGUGAAGUCCCAAGCUCUGCCCUUCUAAUAUCAAUGGCUAAGAUGGAAAUAUGAAAAGUGUGCUUAUCAUAAAUGACAAACGCCUAUGAGAGAUGACAAAUAUAGCUGAUGACAGGAUUGAACUUCAGAAAGUGCUAUGAGAGCUUGGAACAGUGGACCAAAGCAAACAAAUUUUAAAAUCAAGAUGCAGAACUAAUUGCCAGAAGGAUGAAAAACUAUCUCCCUCAAAUCACAAGGGGAACAAGUAGAAGAAAAGGAAAAGCAUAAAGCCACAGUACUCUAAAACCCAUAGUUUCUACUACGAGUGGGUGGGAAGAGGCAGGUGCAGUGCUACAUCCCCAGCCCCAAGGAAGAACUUUGUUAUAGUCAGCCAUGCCCAAGAAUAAUAUGAUUUGCCUUGGAGAGGUCAACCUGGAUGAAUCUAUUCACCACUGAAAGAAAGGGGCUAAAGUCAACAGCAAAGAAACCUGGCAUCUACCUUGGUCUCUAACUCCCUAGAGAUGUGCUUAGGCCACAGAGCCACUGUGAGAUCCCAGCCAAAUGACUUUGCCAAGAUAUCCUUAUCACAGUCGAUACUUUUGCUCUUCGAUGCUGAAGACAUAAAACACACACAGAGCUGGAGGUGCCGAAGGAGAUGCUGUCUGGUAAAGAGAACACCAGGUUGUAUUUGACUAGAACUAGAAUCACCUCCUGCUGAUGCUCUCUGAUUCUGGAAAACCUGGAGCUGGAGACCAGAAAGCCCUAGAACCGCUACCCCUCCAGCGGACCACACCAGGCUGCUCCCAAGAGUUAUCACAAUGCUGAUCACAGUCCCAAACUAAUGCCUGGAGGUGAGGCUCUCUGACCCUUGAAACAGAAAAAAGGAUGGCUUUCUUCAUAUUCAAACCAACAUUAUGCUCUUUAAACUUUCUUUAAAAAAAAACUUGAAUAAAAUCAUGCUUUCUUAAUAAGCA
This is a long non-coding RNA of Fukomys damarensis (Damara mole-rat), 1066 nucleotides long. RefSeq lists it as uncharacterized. The record is from RefSeq and is a predicted model, not a curated record. Lineage: Eukaryota; Metazoa; Chordata; Mammalia; Rodentia; Bathyergidae. The transcript has 6 exons.